UUUCUAAAUUUAGUUACAAACAAGUUGAAGUAAUGACUGAAAUAUCUAACCAAAUAUAAUGCCUUAAGUUAUUGAAAUAAUUGAUUAAAUUUUAAUAUCUUCAUUGAUUAUAAUAAUAAAACCAAAUCAAAUGAAUAAAUAAUCUUUAGAUUGUAAAUAAAAUGCCAACAAGAAUUCUGACAAUUUUUCUGAUCGUAGAACAAAAAUGACAGAUUCAAUAGCAAUAUGAUAGCCAUGAAUAAACCUUGUAUGAAAAAUAUUAUGAUAUUUUCUUAUUUGAUCCUAUCAAUUAAAUAAUUACAAUAAUAAAACAAAUGUGUGAAAUAACAUAUUAGUUAUUACUAAUUUUAACUACAAUCAAACUUGAUACCCACUACUUUAUUCUUUUGAAGUUAAAUUAAUUCUGCUUUUUUUUUCUUUAUUCUUUGUACUAUUCUUGACCUUACAGUUCAUCCUCUCCAAAUUAGGUUUUUCUUUUCUUUUCUUUUCUUUUCUUUUUUAAUUCCAAAUUGGUCAUCCACAGCACUUGUCACUGUCUCCUUCCAUUGUCAACAAUCAAAUCAUUACUACGCUUUUCUUUCCUUUCAAUUUUAACUUAGACAUAAAACUCUAAGCCUUUCAAACUCGGAGCAUACCUUGGUUCAUGCAAUAACCUUAGGAGAUGGCAUCUGAGAAAGUCUGGUGUUUAUAUCCCAGUAUUUGGAAACCCUUCCCCAAUCCCCAAGAUAGGACCUUCUUUGUACCAAGAAAAGAUAUCCAGGCACUACUCUUGAAUUUCUUUCCUAUUUUAUGAUCAAAUCCCUCCUUAUACGUAUUAACUUCAUAAGCAGGUUAAAAAAGUCGAAAAUAUACAUCAAUUGUUUUUUGGUUCUUUUCUCAUAGUAAAUAUUCAACAUGCUAGAGCUCCAUCCCAUACUAUUUUUUUUUUCCGUCAAAGUAUUUCAAGAAAUAUAUAUUACUCCACGGAAAGAAAAUUUUUCUUUAUAUCAAAUUGCUUUAAGCUACACAGAUAUUUUCUAGUUUGAUUAGAAAUUACUUAAUGUGAUGAAACUACGGACCAAGUAACCAUCCCGAAAACAGAUAAGACACGUUAAGAAACAUAGAAGCUUGAAGGGGUUAGAGUUGUAAAGGUACUAGAAUCUGAACCAUACUGAAAACAUCCCUAGCAUUUGAUAUGGUAGUAUCGUGUUGCUCAACGGAUUUCCCAUAGCAAAUAAGAACUUCUAUAUUUUAGGACCAAAGACUUGCCUGAUAUCAACAGGAAAU
Molecule: long non-coding RNA, 1266 nt
Filed under: Gossypium barbadense (sea-island cotton)
Lineage: Eukaryota; Viridiplantae; Streptophyta; Magnoliopsida; Malvales; Malvaceae
Description: long non-coding RNA (GBAR_LNC023507)
Source: RNAcentral